Molecule: long non-coding RNA, 786 nt
Organism: Cajanus cajan (pigeon pea)
Lineage: Eukaryota; Viridiplantae; Streptophyta; Magnoliopsida; Fabales; Fabaceae
Source: RefSeq, a predicted model, not a curated record
UUGAAUACUCCAAUACAUUUGUAAUGAAAGUGUGUGUGUGCACAUUUUCCUAAUCACUUGUUCGUCCCCUCUCUAUCUCUAGCUGUUAACAUCAAAGAUGGUUUCUUUUCAUCCCAACAAGAACUGGUGAUGCAUCCAUGAACAUGGACAUAGCUUCAUAAUUUGGAUGGAUUGUUUGGUAGGGUUCAUUCACAGUAGCGUGGCACUCAAAAGGGCCAAAACCAAAAAAGUAAGAUGCCAAGAAGAAACCUUUUACGUCUAGAGGUCACUUCAAAUACUGCGAGGGAUAAGCAGGGGAAGUCUGUUUGUUGUGGUGUCCAUUUGUCGAACCAAUCUUUAAGUUUCUCACUUAAUGGAAUCCACUCAGAAAGAUUACGUCCUAGUAGUCGAUCCUCAUACCACAACAUUGGAAGUCUUUUCUGGUCUCUUCGAGGCAUCUGUGCAAGAUAAUUCCACUAGCAGAGUUUUCAGCUCUUCAAAGAGGAUUGACAUGGAAACUGGAGUUGCAAAUCAAACAAGGGAUCCAUCCUGCUAUGGUCAUGGAUUAGAUAAUUCAAAAAGCAACGAACUUGCGGCAUUUGCAGCAUCAUGUGCAUGGAAUAUCCUCACUCCGUUUGCAGCAUCAUGUGCAUGGAAUAUCCUCACUCCGUCCUUCAAACAGGCUAGUGUUACCUAUUUGAAUGUGCAUAUCCUCAGAGCAUUUGCAUGAAAGGCAGGUUAUUAUUGUUUAAACAAGUGACUUUACCCAGUUCCUUUCGGUAAGCUUAACCUGCUGACUUUAUUGCU